UUCAUUGUUUCAUCGUCGAUUGCAGCAAGUGUGUUAAAUUUGAUUCGUUAAAUUAAUUUCGCAAAACGAAAAUGUGCAUGGGUUCUACUCAACUGGACGGAGACAAAUGAGACAAGUAUACUGGACGAUUCAAUGGUUCCAGAGAUAAAAUAAGGUUCGAGGACAACCGAAAGAUUGAGAUGGAGAAUAUGGAGACCCAAAGUUAACAAGAACCCUCCAAGAAAAAUGUCUGAAUGGCGUACUGUAUUCAAGUGUUGUCGAUUCUAUUCAUAUAGGUUGCACUAGAUACAUUUUGUCUCAAAGGAUUAUUUUGCAUCUUUGAAAAAGCCAACAUGCAAGUAGACUGGUAUGUGCUACAAUGACAAACAAAAAAUAUACAGUAUCUGCAAUAGUUGAAUACCCAGAUAUCCAGUCAGCAGCUGUAAAAACCAAGAUGACUAAAAUAUGUGAAGAUACAAGGCGCUCCAUGUCAAAGGGAAUGGAUACAGCAGCUAAUGUUUAACAACAGGCGCUUAAUGUGCAGUAAUUUUUAAAUUUUAAAUUAUAAUUGUAAUUAUCUUUGCUAAAGGUAACUUAGCAAAGUGUUGUAAUUAAAUUUU
RNAcentral lists this long non-coding RNA (599 nucleotides) under Anneissia japonica. RNAcentral's name for it is "uncharacterized LOC117112472". Lineage: Eukaryota; Metazoa; Echinodermata; Crinoidea; Comatulida; Comatulidae. The record is from RNAcentral.